Molecule: ribosomal RNA, 159 nt
Filed under: uncultured bacterium
Lineage: Bacteria
Description: partial 16S ribosomal RNA
Rfam family: Bacterial small subunit ribosomal RNA
Source: RNAcentral
UGGGGAAUCUUGCGCAAUGGGCGAAAGCCUGACGCAGCGACGCCGCGUGAGUGAUGAAGGCCUUCGGGUUGUAAAGCUCUGUGGGGAGAGAAGAAUAAGUCGUAGUGAAUAUCUACGAUGAUGACGGUAUCUCCUUAGCAAGCACCGGCUAACUCUGUG